UAAACUUCAUGUCUCAAUCCCAAUGUCAACUAAUGUAAAAAAUUACCAUUAAUUACUUUUUUUGCCUGUUUCUAUAGAUUGUCUGGCAAAAAAAUGAGAAGGAAAAUUGCAGUUAAUUUUGAUGCUACUGAAACAAUCGAUGCUUUGACAUUUUCACCUUGCAACAUUAUGCAGUUAAUUUUGGUUCUGAGUAUUGGAGGUCAUCGGAAAUUAAUUUGGUUUGCUCAACAUACUGAUGAACUUUAGAAUGCUACUUUUUAAGGUUAACUGAGGUGAAAGUACAUAAGAUUAUCAAUAUUAAUCGCUCUUUAUUACACUGUUAUGGCAUUUCUUUUAACAAUUAUAUAUUCUCCACAGUAUAAAUUGACACACUUCUAUGUUAUUUACAUUAGUUUAACCAAGUAUUACGCACAUUAUUUACUAAGGAUGCUAAAAUACUGUAUCAUUUUACAGGAACAUUGGAAGAACUCCAGAUUCUGUUAAAUUAUGGGGAAUUGGUUGUCUCAGUCGUCAAUUGCUUUAGAAAGUAGCUGUAUCUAUGGUCUUAAAAAAAAGCAUGAAAACGUGUGUUCAGUGUGCUGUUGCUAAAGAAAGGAUUUAUGACAUUGAACUGAUUGUCGUAACAAAUUAGAAGAUAUUGAUGCUACUGAAACAACCGAUGCUUUUGAUGUUUUCAUCUUCCAACAUUAUGCAGUUAGUUUUGGGCCUGAGAAUGGGAGGUAAAUGGAAAUUAAUUUGGAAGCCACUGAAACAACAAAUUGUCUGCAGUGAUAUCCCUCCUAUAUUUGUUUUGCUCUGCUUAUGAUACUGAUAGACUUUGGAACGCUACUUUCUACAGGUAGUCAAGAUCUUUCAACAAAGAGGGAGUUAAGGUUCAGUUUGGUCGUACUGAAACAACCAUUGUCUACAUGGGUGUGGUCUUUGGUGAAUUACAUUCUUGAUUUGCUGUUUUCGUCUUCGCUUUGCAUCAUUAUGCACUUAGUUUUGAACUGAUGAGUGAGAGCAACUGGAUAUUUAUUUGAUUUCCACUGAAAUAACGAAUUUUCUGCAUUGGCAUUAUUCCUGGAU
This is a long non-coding RNA of Agrilus planipennis (emerald ash borer), 1068 nucleotides long. RefSeq lists it as uncharacterized. The record is from RefSeq and is a predicted model, not a curated record. The transcript is spliced from 3 exons. NCBI's taxonomy places the organism in Eukaryota, Metazoa, Arthropoda, Insecta, Coleoptera, Buprestidae.